GUUUUUAUGAGGAAUGUGAUGUUUUAAUUUCUCUUUAAUUUCUCUGAAUAACUGCAGUCUAAUGCAACAGCUGGAAUUGUAACAUCUGUCCUGAUAUUGAGCAUGAAGUAUUGAUCAGAAUACUUAUGGUUAGCAGUCAUCCCUGAAGUUUUACAUUCAAAUCUUUACUUGUGUUGUGAACUUUGGUAAGAAGCAGAAACUUUAGCGUUGCCAUGGAUACAUGAGUGUUAAAUUCUGUCCAUGUUUCCAUUUUGGGAAAUUCAGUCCAGCAGAUGAGUUUGUUUUUACUGCCAGCUACCAUUCAGUCUGAGAUAUUAAGAAUAAAUAAAUAAAUAAAUGUGCAUAAUGUGGAAAUGAACAGAUUUUAUUUUUAUUUAUUCCUACAGCAUGUAAAGUUCCAGAAUGUGGAGGAAUUUAGUCUCACAAUCACAGACAAUAAAUAUUAUCUGAAAGUCGGGUUAUUAUUGUUUAUCAGCACAAUACAAAAAGAUUCAUGUUAGAAAUAUUCCAGUUAAGACUCUAGAAUAUCAUGAUUUAUGUAAAUUUACCUCAAUAAUAUGAAUGUUCAGGUUAAGAUUGUGCAGUGAUAUUUAUUAUGUAAGUUUAGCUGAUUAAAGUUUAUGACGCUGCACUACAAUAUUUAUUAUUUAAAUUUACAUCAUUAUUAUAAUAUUUAGGCUCAGACCCUACAGUACUGAGAUUAAGAAAUCAAAUAUUCUAUAAAAUCUAAAUACACUGAACUCAUUUGGAUAUAUUUAAGUGAGACUCUACAAUAUUAUUUAUGACACAAAUCUAUCUAAAUCAAAAUUUUAAUCAUUUUUACUCCAAACAUUUACUGGACUGAUUUAAAUAUUAAAAUCACUCCUUUCUAAUCCUCUGCUGUAUGUUCAAACCUGAGGCCUUAAAUAGAAACACACAAGUAUCUGAUUGAAGGAACUUCUGCAGAGUCCUGGUUCCACAACAUGAUGAUAGAAUUAUAGACAAACUUUAACAAAAGCUGCCUGAGAGUUUACAGCUUUUUAUGUUAGAUUUCUUCAGUAAUUUAAUGAGAGUUAUCAGCAAAAAUCAGGUGUUCAUUUGAUGAACUUCAUUUCCUAAAACAUCCAGAAUUGGAGCUCAUAUCUUUGGCAGCUGUAAAGUUUCUGCUCCUUCAAAGUUCACAACACAAUGAAUGAAUUCCUAAAACACUCUCAAUGCUGGAGAGCGUUUGAUGCUGAAGCAGUGACCAGUUUUUCUGUUUCUUCUCUGGAGAUGCACAAUGAGGGACAUCUGCAGAGACUGAGAAAGAGUCUCACCACAUCCUGACAUGAGGAAAAAGACUUUAUUGAAGACUACAAUGAGAAAAACUAUCAGACAGCAGACGGCUGCAUUCAAGAGAGGAAGACCAUCAAACAUCCACGUCAGCUGAUGGAGGUCCAAGAGUCUCACCCAACAAACAACCUACAGAGUGAAGACCUCCAAUCUGAUUGGACGGCCUCCUAUUCAGCCACAUUUUAGGCUGUUAGAUUGUUCCAGAUAAGACAAGUACAAGAUUCUUCAGAGCUGUUCUACCACGAGCCUGACAGGAAGAACUCCAACAGCUACUGAAUGUUCCUGUGGUUCCCUCAAGGCUACAGGAGGAGCCCUACGAGGACGAGCUGGUCCACCUGAUGGUGGCCAGUCGCUGCGGUUCAAAGCCAACACCGACUACGUGGACUUCUACUGGACCACACGGAGGCCUUCAAACCGGACCAACAAGUUCAGCGACUCCCCGACUCGUGGGUCUGAGGACACUGCCGAGCCUCGGUCCAGCCGGCCUCCUGUCUGUGGGUGUUUGAGUGCUGAGAGGUUUGUGGAUGCAUGUGAACGUUCUGUGUUGAAACAGCAGCUUUGGACUCAGUAACGCCGGGAAAAACCAAGAGCUCCUUUAUUUG
Molecule: long non-coding RNA, 1913 nt
Organism: Amphiprion ocellaris (clown anemonefish)
Lineage: Eukaryota; Metazoa; Chordata; Actinopteri; Pomacentridae
Source: Ensembl